GUGACACCAUUGGCUCGGGUUGCGGCGUUUUUUGGUUUUUGCAAAUAUUUUUGCAAAUUUAUUUUAGUAGGCUGUGCCGAGAACCUUUAGAUUUGAAUUCGGCUGCUCAUUUUGACUCCUAUGGACUUGCUCUCGGCUGUCCUCCACCGUUUACAUCUGGGCAUCCUCUAGAUUUCCUCACUUAUUUUUCUGUUUUUUAUCAUUCGAGCUCUCACUUUCUUAUUUAUUGGUCCCCUUUUGCUGAUCGAGUCACUGGCCCCCCUUGGUUUUUAGCCAG
RNAcentral lists this long non-coding RNA (277 nucleotides) under Ananas comosus (pineapple). RNAcentral's name for it is "long non-coding RNA (ACOM_LNC034354)". Lineage: Eukaryota; Viridiplantae; Streptophyta; Magnoliopsida; Poales; Bromeliaceae. The record is from RNAcentral.